Molecule: long non-coding RNA, 531 nt
Organism: Teleopsis dalmanni
Lineage: Eukaryota; Metazoa; Arthropoda; Insecta; Diptera; Diopsidae
Exons: 3
Source: RefSeq, a predicted model, not a curated record
UCAAAGUUUGUUUUUUAACACAUAUGCAUAAACGUAUGUAAAUAUAUAAUGUAUGGAAACGUUGUAAGGAAAAUUUAUGGUUAAAAAGUGGGAAAUGCAAAAAAUAGUCAGAAGUUUUGGUAAAAAUGGAAAACUGCAAAAAAUAAUAGCCAGAAAUUAUAUAGUCAGUGGAAACUGCAAGAAGUAACUAGGAAAUUUAUACUCCGUAAGUUACAGAAAAGAUGGCAAGAUAGACAAUGUAAACAGUAUACAAAGUAAAAAAUUAAUUCCCAAUAUUGUUUUAAGGUUAUAGAUCAAGCAGUUGACAACAAGGUGACGACCCCUCAAAAUACCUUCAUUACCUAACCUGGAAGAUCACGCCAGCUUAUUCAGUUUUUCUACUAUUACAAAUUAUAGGAAAGACUGCUUUAAACUUUAUUUAAAUCAUGUAAAAUAAUGUCACUACAGUGCGAUACUUGUUUCCCACACUUAUCUUAAACACUUGAAGUCGGGCUAUUAAAUAGAAUUAUUAAAAAUAAUCUUAAAAGUAAA